This 24202-nucleotide long non-coding RNA is filed under the name Lathyrus oleraceus (garden pea). RNAcentral describes it as "Pisum sativum (pea) long non-coding RNA (PSAT_LNC010032)". The record is from RNAcentral. Lineage: Eukaryota; Viridiplantae; Streptophyta; Magnoliopsida; Fabales; Fabaceae.
AUCCCUUCUCCUUAGGAAGGUUUUUUUUUCUCGCAAAAAUCAAGAAAUUGAAUCACUCCAUUCUCAUAAUCUUUACUUAACCUAUUGGAUUUCAUCCAACUACAUCCAUAAUUACAUACAACUUCUGAAAUAAAUAAAAAAAUUACACACUCAACAAUACUACCAUAACAACACACACACUACCAUAGCACAUUAAUAGUAAAUAGGUAUAAGUCUCAAAACCAUAAUAACAAAAACAACAACCAUAUACGACAACGACAUCAACGACAUAAUACACAACAACAACGACAACAAGACAACGAAGAAGAAACAAUAAUAAUAAUAAUAAAGAAGAAUUCGAGAUAAAUAAUUUGUACAUACCGAAAAUAUGAUGAGAGACUCAAUAGAGAAGAAUUCGAGAUUACUUCCUCCUCGAAGAAGAAGGGUGGUGAUUCUGAGUCUUGGGAAACUCCUUCAUUCGCUAGAGAAGAAUGGGUUCCUUUCGUUCGCUAGGGCGCAAAAAGUGAAUGAGACAAAACAUUAUAAUUCUGAAAGAAUAAAAAUCAUUUUUAUAGUUAUCAUCUCAAUUUUCUUCAACAUCAGAGGGAUAAUAAAACAUAAAAUUGCAGAAGCUGAGAAUGGAAGCUCAAACACUGAACAAUAUUUGAUGUCGGUUUUCCUAGAAAACCGAGGUGAAAUAUGAUAAAGUUUCUUUAAAAAAUAUAAUAUAUAGCGCGUUCAAGGCCAUUUGACCUCGGUUUUUCAAUAACUAAGGUGAAAGCUUCGUCAUGAAAUGUAGAAUUUAUAGUAGUGACAUAAUAUGGUCAUAAGAAUCAAUAAUUUCGGAAGAGACAAUGUUUAACAUGUGUUUCAUUACAUGAUACUCACACCUGUAUCCCUCUUCUUGUCUCCUCGUCUACAAAUUUAAAUAUUUCAUGAAUAUAUAUAUAUAUAUAUAUAUAUAGAGAGAGAGAGAGAGAGAGAGAGAUGUCACAAGUAAUCCACUUAUCUUGGUCGUAUAAAAUGUGAGUUUUUUUAGAAUUGUUCGUAAAAUAAUGUCACUCCACAAUCCUGUAUAUUAAAAAUUAUUUUAAAAUAUUACGCGCUAAACUAAUUACAAAGUCAAAGAAAAUAUUACUAAAAGUCUCAUAAACAUAAACUUAUCUAGUAAUAAUUUGUUUCAUCUUAAGUUUAAGUGGAUUGUGUAAGGAACACAGUGUAGUUACCGUAUUCUUCCGAAGAGAUGUGAUGAUCAAUUGAAAAUGUUCACUAAAUGAACACAAGCAUAUAUAAUUAGAAUUUGGUAAAAUAUGGAAACUAAUUAUAAUAGAGAAACCACAAUUUCAAAAUUACUCACGCUUGGAUAAAUGAUGUUAAGUAAAAGUCUUUUCUCUCGAUAUCUCUAGUUAUGGGCUACAUUUAUCAUUUCGUAUAGAACUAAUUCACUCACUUAUUUUUGAAUUUUGUUUAACUAUUUAGGUUACUAUCCAUCGGGUAGUUAUAAUUAAAUAAAUCAGAUAUUAUGGAUUAUUGGAUUCCCAGUUGAGUAUUUGAUUUACAAGUAAUAGUUCCAAAAUGAUUGAAACAGCAGAUAACAUCACAGUUAGGCGAUGAGAAAAGACUUUACUUAACCAUCAUUUAAUCCCCAAGCGUGAGUAAUUUGAAAUUGUGGUUUCCUCUAUUAUAAUUAUUUCCCAGUAUUUACCAAAUUCUAAUUAUAUAUGCUGUGUGUUCAUUUAGUGUGAACAUUCUUCAUUGAUCACAUCAGUCCUCUUCGGAAGAAAUACGGUAACUCUACAUGUGUUUUCCUUACACAAUCCACUUAACUUUAAGAUGAAACAAAUUAUACUAGAUAAGUUUAUGUUAUGAGACUUUUAGUAAUUUUUCUUUGACUUGCCUGUAAUAGUUUAGCGGUAAUAUUUUAAAAAUAAUUUUUAACUAUACCAGGAUUGCUGGAGCUCGACUUAUGUUUCGAAACAAUUCUAAAAAAUCACUAUUUAUCCGACAAGAGAAGUGAAUUACUUGUGACAUCUCUCUCUCUCUCUCUCUCUCGUCAUAAUAAUAAUUGAUAUAUUAUAUAUUCUGAAAUAUUUAAAAAAUUGUAGACGAGGAGACAGAAGAGGAAUACAGGUGUGAGUAUCAUGCGUAAUGAAACAACCCAUGUAAACAUUGUCUCUUCGAAAAUUUUGAUUCUUAUGACCAUAUAUGUCACUACAUAAAUUCUACAAUUCAUGACGAAGCUUCACCUAGUAUCAUUGAAAAACCGAGGUCAAUGGCCUUGAACGCGCUAUAUAUUAUCAUUUUUUCUUAAAGAAACUUUAUCCAUAUUUCACCCCUCGGUUUUCUAGGAAAACCGACAAUCAAAUAUUCUCAUUAGUUUGAGCUGUCCAAUUUCAGCUUCUUGCAAUUUUAUGUUAUUAGCUCCCUGAUUGUUGCAGAAAAUUGAGAUGAUAACUAUAAAAAUGAAUUUUUAUUCUUCAGAAAUUAUAGAAUGUUGUCUCAUUCACUUUUGCGCCUAGCGAACGAAAGGAACCCAUUCUUCUCUAGCGAAUGAGGAGUUCCCAGCAGAUCUCAGAAUCACCACCCUUCUUCUCGAGGAGGAAGUAACUCGAUUCCUUCCUCUAUUGAGUCUCUCAUCUAUAUUUUCGGUUAUUAACCGUACAAAAUUAAUUAUCUCGAAUUCUUCCUUUAUUAUUAUAUAUUGUUUCUUCCUUCGUUGUCAUUGUGUCGUUGUUGUGUUAUUAUGUUCGUUUGAUGUCCGUUGUCGUAUAUGGUUGUUAGUUCUUUGUUAUUAUGGUUGAGACUUAUUUACUAUUUACUAUAAUGUUGCAUCUGUGAGUGUUGUGUUGUUGUUAUGGUAUUCUGAGUGGUGCUACUCUUAUUUUAUUUAUUUUCAGAAGUUGUAUGUAAUUAUGGCAUCGCUGAGUUGGUGAAAUCCAAUUAGGUUAAGUAAAGAUUAUGAGAAUGGAGUGAUUCAAUUUCUUGAUUUUGCGGAAAAAAAAAACCUCCUAAGGAGAAGGGCACUUUUUGGGUGUCCUUGCUAAAAAAAAAUCGAAAUAUUCACAAACAUCUAAGGGAUGAAAUAUUCAAUCAUUGUAGGUUGGUAUGAAAUUAUUCAAAAUAUAAAGUAAUAGUAUAUGAGCCUGGUGAAGUGAACAACAAAAGACUCUGUCACAUACAGUGAAGAUGAUUAAUUAAUGAAUGAUAUACUCUCAGAAACAUGUUCAUGAUAUUGGGAUAGAUGCUUCAAAAGCUAAUUUGAUAAUUAACUUUGCAAAAAGACAUGGAAGAGUCGUUGUAUCUGGCGAUGCAAAGUUUUAAAAUAUUAUCAUUUGUGUUAAGACUACAUAAGUAUAACGCUAAGGGCGGGAAGGAGGGUGGGCUGGACAGAUAAAAGUUUCAAACAUGAAUUGCUUGGAAUUGUGCAAGAACCAUGCUUACAGAAGGUAGACACGUUGUCGAACCUCUAGUUAUUAAGCCAAGAAGGAUAUUGUGUCCAAUAGGUUGGAUUAUGUUAAAAUACAUGUAUGUCGUAUAUGAUUAACAUAGUAUAGUAGGAAAGAAUAUGAAAACUUGAAGGAGUAGUCCAGAUACUGGGGAGCACGCUAUAAGAAAGAAGGUCAAUGGUGUUGAAGAUUGAUGAUAUAAACUAGAAAAGGUGUUCCUCAAGGUGAUGUGGUACCUAACGGUAGCCUUAAAUGUUUCAAAGCAAUUGUUCUCUAAUGCAAAUGAUGCCAAAUAAUACUAGUGGCAUGCAAUGAAAGAGUGUGUGAUGGAAAAAUUCGCCAUGUAGCUGAUUAUUGCAACAAGAAGAAAAAUGGUUCCUUAGUUCCCAGAUUUUCACCUAGAAGUAGCGACCGUAGGCUUGGACUUGCACACUUGACGAAAUGAACCAUUUUCGCGUAAUUUGAGUACUAACAAAUACAUCACGGCUCCGUUCUUCUCAUAAUUUACAACCUAUCUACAUGUGUGUUCACGGAGUGCAAAACAACCCAGGGAACAUAGGAGUUGUUUAUUUAACUCAUUGAUUGAAGAUUUAAGACUUUUUGGGAGGAGGCCGUACGUUGUGUAUGAGUGCAUAUACAAGUGAUAACUUUAAAGCUGCGUGCCAUAUUGUUUUGCACAAUCAUGACUUUCCUACAUUCACGUAAUUUGUCUAGGUACAUCGUCAAGGACAUAAAGCGUUCCUAUAUCGUGAAUUUGUACAUUCACACGCAAUAUAAAAAUUGGAAAAAAAAGACUAUUUAAUCUUGGGAAUCGAAAAUUUUCAGAUCUAAUCAUCCAUACCUGUAGAUGGUGAAAUGACUUUUUAAUGGAUGGAGUAAGCGUUUGAUUUUUCUCCAAAUCCCCUUAACCGAGAAGGAAUUAUAAGAUAGGCACAACACAUUAAGGUCUACUUUUGAAAGAAACUAAAAGAUAAACAAAAAGGCCCAUGGAGAAAAUAUAGUUGAAAAAGAGGUCGGUGUUCUUUGAUCUCCACAUAUUGGUCUUGUCUUAUGUAAGACAUUAUCUUUGAUGUGAUGUAUGUGGAGAAAAUAUAGUAUGUGAUAGUUUGAUUGGAAACCUUUGCAAUAUUAAAGGCAAGCAAAAGAUACUAAGGAAUCCCAUGAAGACAUGUUUUGUGAUGGAAAUACGUUAAGAUUUGCCCCAAAAGAAAUGGGAAAUAAAACAUAUUUUUCUCCAGCUUGUCACACUCUUCUGAAAAAAAAAAAUUGUGAUUGUUACAGGGUAAUCAAAGUUUCCCAAGGGUACUCAUCAAAUGUAAAAAAACUUGUGUCAGAGAACGAGUCACAAAUUGUGACUAAAAUCCAUGAUUGUCCAUGUAUUGAGCAACAACUUCUACCAAUGGCUAUUUGCUGACAUUUACUAGGAAUGCAAGGGGUAACUAUAACUAGAUUGUAUCCUUAUUCUUCAAUGAUAUAUGUAGUAAAGUCAUUGAUCCUAAAACAUUUAGACGAGUUGGAACAUGAGGCUGGAAAUUAUCUUGUGUUUAAUUAGAAGAUGUUUUCCCUCCAUCGUCUUUGGACAUUAGGUUCAUUAGUUGUUCAUCUUAGUAAGGAGAUUAAAAUUUGUGGUCUCGUUUAUUUACAGUGGCAUGUUAUUCUCAAUAGCAGCUGAUACAUCAAGAUCUGUCAAAGGGUAUAAAAAGAAUCCUCAUCGUUAAGCUCGCAUCAUUUAAUGAUAUACCAUAUAAGAAGCUAUUGAGUUGUGUUACAAUGUAUUUGUCAGAAGGUUAACUCUAUAGAAGUUUCCCGAGUUCUCGUCAUGAGGGAAGAUAUGAUGGUAGAGGUACUCAGAGUUAAAUGUUAAAACUUUUAAGCGGAAGAUGCUAGGUUCGUCAAACAACAUUUGUUAUAUAUUGAAUAACCGUGGAUAAGUUGAACCUUUACUUUGACCGUUCACAAAAGUCUUUAUAAAGGAAAAUAAUCCCGGAGUGAAUGAAAAAUUGUUGUUGACAGAGCCCUCAACAAAAAUUCAUAACUUGGUUUAAUGAAAGUAUUUCUAAUAGAGAGUAGUUGUGGCAUCAGAGACUAUUAAAAUGGUUGUCCCGUACUGCUAAGUUUACGUAAUUACUUGGAGUGCAUACAUAUUACUAGAUAUGUUAUUCUAUACAAAAUCAAAGGAUUGACCGUAGUACCAUACAAAAAUAGUGGGCUUAUGAGUUAACCAUGAAUCCAUGUACGGUCUCUAGUGCCAAAGAUAACAAAUCUGUACUAUCUAGAGCAUACUUUUGAGAAGAUUAUGGAGAUUGAUUAUGUUUCUUUCAAAGUUUCUUUAUUUAAGUGAAAAUGGAUUGACAGAUAACACUGGUGUAGAAAACCGAAGAUAGGAGUUCACAGCGGUUGAUCUUCGAAGACAACUAUAUUAAGAAUGAACCAUUCAUCAUGGAAACCAAGCCGAAACAAGUUAUUGUAUGUCACUAAUCCUUCUAAGGACUUAGCAUGGCUAAAUGUACUUUAAGGAAACGUCUUUCUGGUGAAAAUCAAGAAUUUUACACUAGCGAGAAACCCCUUGUUUCGCAACGACAUUAUAAGUUUAAUCCAUCUAAAAACAAACGAUUCAGAUGAUGUGCCAAUGGUUAUUUGUCGUGAUCAUAAACAAGGAAUAUGGGAAAACUAGUAUAGUACAAAUUUUAUAUCACUUAGUAACUUACAAUCUAUUCAUUUUACUUUUUUUUAUUCCUUUUAGCUAAAGAUUUAAUGUUCUUGCGUGAUUUUCCCUAAUUGGUUUACAAUUGUUGGUUCAAAUGUAUAGGUGUUUAACGACUGGUGACAAUCUUAGCAAUAGAUUUUGCGAACAAUCUACAAAGACUUUUCCAUUUUGGUAAAUUGCUUUUAUUUGUUAAUCAUUGAUUAUCGUUUGUUGUAAUAAAUUAUAAGGUUUGUGUCCAAUAUUUUGGUUUUGCAUUGUGUAAACUAUUGUUCUUCUGUGAAUAUAGUUCUGUAAGUGCAGGCUACAAUUGUUUUUGUUUCAGAAAUCUCGCGAAAUAUGGUUGUUGUAAUUCUGUGAUAUUGGUUACUGUAAUUCAGGUAUUAAGCGAAAAAACAUAAAAAAAAAUCCACCCACCGAUUUUCAAAUAAAGCUGACAUAAUAAUAUAGGGCUAUUUACUCCGGUUUUUUUUAAACAAACUGAGAUUUUAUGUGGGCGUGUCAUCCAAACUUGGUAAAUAAAAAACAAUGCAGAUGUUGGAUUUAAACUCAUGAUCGGAUACCGUUAUCCAUACAGUUUUCAUUAACCCGACGGUGUUUAGUGGCAUAUUUUUUUGUCGUACCUUUGUUACGUCGCUUCAGGUUAAUCGAUAUUAAUCUCUUUCACGCUGGUGACGUAAAAAACGUUCUUUGUUUAUUUGUAGUAGCUGUGUCAAGAAAUUGUUUUAUAAUAACAUAUUAUAUGUUAAAAAUUGUUAUAUAUUAUACCAUCAUGUAAUAUUCAAACUUUCUUCCUUUUUAUUGUGGAAGUUUAACAAACAGCGACACUGUAUUCCCCGAUGAUUUAAAAGACAUAUUUAGACAUUGGAACCUUAUUUUCAAUCGAUACUUGAAAAUGGUACUAAGAUAUUGAUUUUUUUAAGCUUUGAUUUUUGAAAUACUUAUAAUUUUGGACUUAAUAUAAAUAAUAUAUAUAAUCAUAAUAUAAUAUUGGUAAAACAUAUAGGUUUGUAAUAAAUGAGAAAAAAAUUAAGUAUUUCACCAGUGUUGAUUAAAGAAGCAUCGUGAUGAUAGGUUAUCGCACCACAUAUUAUAUAUGCUGCAAUCCUUUAGGAGUAAAAUGUUUAGAACUUUUAAUAUAUUGCAUAGGCGGUUGUUUAUAUAUAAUGUUGUGAUAGGGUAGUAGUUCUUAGUUUAUCAUACAUGUCACAUGUCCGGUGAAAAAAUAUCAUUCCACUUAUAAUCCACAUCUUAAUAUCUCAACAUUAGUCAAUCAAUAAUUGUAUUAUUUUUUCAACAUUUAUAAGAUGAGUAUUCGUAAGAUAGUGAGCCGUAUCCUAAUUCUUUUAAUGCUCAUGCCCUAUUCUUGGAUUGGUAAAGAAAACAAAUUUCUUUAAUCCCUCUUUUUAGGAACACCUCGCAGUGAGUGUACACCCCUGCUUUUAGAACACUCCACAAUACAUCUUUUAAUUUAAUAAAUUUUUUAAACAAAAAUUUAAUUUUAAUUAAAAAUGAAUAAAUUGCUCCAUAAAGUGCAUUCAAUGACACAAGUUGCAUCAAUAAUGAGGCUCAUCAACCUGGCCUUUUUAGUAGUUGCUUAAUUGAUGGAAAAGCCAUUUACAUGGAUAAGAACCUUCAACAAAUUAUAUUAUAGGCAUAAUAAUCAUUAAAUAAUUUAUUACCUAACUACAACUAAAAUGUCCCUGUCAAAGCAAACUACAACAUAACNNNNNNNNNNNNNNNNNNNNNNNNNUUCCAGCUGUUGUUGUAUGAGAGAGAUCAGAGCAGCCUCCGGAACAGUCUGCUUAACAGAGGUGAAAGUAACCGCCCCAAAUAGGUUAUUCCCAUAGGCCUACUACCAGUAACAUUGAAAUUGCAUCCUCAAAAUACAAGUAAGCCAUCUCACACAUUCCACAAGAGCAAUAACACAAGACCAAUGUCGGUAGGUGAAGAGUGAACAUGGAAUUAAUAUCCGUCUCUUCCAAAACUGAAGCAAACCUCAAAAACACAUAGAAGACAAGUAACAGAUCAAGCCAAAAGACAUGAAACCGUUAAAGGGUCAUAAGAGGGCCAGUUUACCAGGAAGAUAACCAUUGAUUUCUCCAUACAGUUUUUCCGUACAGUAGUCCCUUUCAGGUAGGAUUCACAAACAAAGUAAAGAUAAACUGCCACGUAGCAUUGAUUUCAACAGUUUGAAGACUCCAUCAUUGAGCAACUUCACGAUCUCUACGGCAAGAAGUUUGAUCCGUUGGGAAGUCAGGAAUUAUCAGGAUUAUUAUGAAUGAUAACUUCCACCAAAACAUGAUAUUCUUUAGCAAGAUCAGGGGUACAAACAAUGUAAAUCAGACCUUGGGAUUAAAAAUAGAACCCACCGAUUCUUUUCUGUCUUGUAACUUCAAGAAUAAUUGCUUCACAAGGAACAGUAUGGGUUUGCAUUUUGCCAUUCAGGAGAGUAGCAGAUUCUGGGUCUGUUGAAGACAUUGUUUCGAACCUGGAAUUGAUUUGAAAAGAAUGAAACCUAAACCCUAACCCUAUCUAACCGUAAUAGUGAGUGAAAGAAAAGAGUGUGAGAUUGGUAAUACCUGAAAGAAAGACGAAGAAGAGGAGAAGCAUAGCUUCUGUUCCGGCGUGGAAGAAGAAAGCGGUGUGGAACGGUGAGUGAAGGGUUCGUUGUGUGUAGUGCAUGAAUUGAAGCAGACAUUCUACUAAGGAAAUGGUAAGAAGAGUGCAAUAUAUAGAUCACAGGUUUUCACACUCAUCUGAACCCCAUCAUCGUCCAUAUCAUCAGAAUGAAGAAAGAGAAAAAUGAGAGAGAGCAUCGAUAGUAGUAACAAGCAGGUUGAGUAAACCGUUAGUUGACUGUGAUCUUGGAUUCAAUCUCUCACUCACCUCUGUCUCCACCUUUUGGUUUUAUUUUUUUUUAAUUUAAAAGACUUUAGACAACGCUUUUGGUUUUAUUUUGUUUUUUAAUUUAUAGACUUUAGAACAGCGCUUUACAAAAGCGCCUGACUAAGGUUCUCUAUAUUUAAAAGCGCUUUCUAAACAGCGCUGUCUAAGGGGGGUCUUAGAACACGCUUUAGAAAGCGCUGUCUAGACCCCCCCUUAGACAGCGCUUUCAUUAUUUUUGGAACAGUUCACGUGUUUAUUUUAAUUUUAACCUAGACAGGCUUCUUCUUACAACAAGCGCUGUCUAGAUGCGCUGUAAAAGUCAGUUUUUGCUCGUAGUGGUUUGAUUCUAUUUUGCUGUCCGGUGUAUUUUUGAUGAAUUAAGAGACAUACGGUGAAACGCCCAAUAAUUGGUACACAUGAAGUUAGUGAUGGAAUCAAUUUCCUUACAGAAUUGUUGUAUUGUAGUGCCAAGAAAACAGAAAGGAAGUGAUUUCAGGCAUUCGCCCACCGAUAAUUGAGAACCAUAAGUGAUAUUGACGUCUUUUCUGAAAUAAUAGAUAACAAAAAUUGUUCAUCUCACAUUAUAGAUAAGAAGCGAUCUAAUUCUCUCUUAACUGUAACAUGAGUCGAGAGUUAGAGUGUUUCUAUGUCGAUCCUAACUGAUAUAAAGAUGUUUUGCCAUGGGAAAAUGAUGUUGGCAUGUAUGAUACUUCAGGUUUGGUGCACGUAGUAUCAGAAUUGGGAUAUCUCAGUUAUGGUACAUUUAUCAUUCGUUACUAGAACUUAAUUCACUCACUUAUUUUUGAAUUUUGUUUAACUAUUUAGGUACUAUCAUCUGGUUAGUAUAAUUAAAUAAAUCAGAUAUUAUGGAUUAUUGGAUCCCAGUUGACGUAUUUGAUUUACAAGUAAGUAGUUCCAAAAUGAUUGAAACAGAGAAACAUCACAGUUAGGCGAUAUAUCCAAUUCUAUACCUACGUGCACCAAACCUGAAGUAUCCAUACAUGCAACCACUAUUUUCCAAUGGCAAAAUCCUUUAUAUCAUUAGGAUCGACAUAGAAACACUCUAACUCUCGAUCAUGUUCCAGCUUAAGAGGAAUUAGAUCUUUCUUAUCUAUAAUGUGAGAUAACAAUUUGGUUAUUGAUUAUUCAGAAGAAGUCAAUAACUCAUUAUGGUUCUCAUUAUCGGUGGGGAUGCCUGAACAACUUCCUUUUGUUCUUGCACUACAUACAACAAUUCUUUAAGGAAAUUGAUCAUCACUAACUUCAUGUGUACAUUAUUGGGCAGUUUCACUUAUUCUCUACAUCAUCAAAAUAACAGGAACACAAAAUAGAAUCAACACAAUAUAUAUCAUACAUUUCAGAUAUCACAAUAUUCCCACAUACCACAUAUAACUCUUUCAUUUCUUCCACAUCUUUGCUUCGAUUUUCCCACUCCUUUGCUAAUGCAUCUUCAACUUCUUUAUUUUAUCAUUCCAACUUCUUCUCAAACUCUUCAAUCGUUUCUUUUUGCGUUUGUCCGUUGCUUUUUUCUGGAUAUACCAUAGAAUAAUCUCAGGCAUAUUUCAUCUCUAACACCACGGACACGCCUACCAUGCUUCUUUGGUCCGACUACUCCUAUUAAUAUANAUAUAUAUAUAUAUAUAUAUAUAUAUAGAGAGAGAGAGAGAGAGAGAGAGAGAGAGAUGUCACAAGUAAUCCACUUAUCUUGGUCGUAUAAAAUAUGAGUUUUUUUAGAAUUGUUCGUAAAAUAAUGUCACUCCACAACCCUGUAUAUUAAAAAUUAUUUUAAAAUAUUACGCGCUAAACUAAUUACAAAGUCAAAGAAAAUAUUACUAAAAGUCUCAUAAACAUAAACUUAUCUAGUAAUAAUUUGUUUCAUCUUAAGUUUAAGUGGAUUGUGUAAGGAACACAGUGUAGUUACCGUAUUCUUCCGAAGAGAUGUGAUGAUCAAUUGAAAAUGUUCACUAAAUGAACACAAGCAUAUAUAAUUAGAAUUUGGUAAAAUAUGGAAACUAAUUAUAAUAGAGAAACCACAAUUUCAAAAUUACUCACGCUUGGAUAAAUGAUGUUAAGUAAAAGUCUUUUCUCUCACCUAACUGUGAUGUUAUCUCUGUUUCAAUCAUUUCUGGACUAUUACUUGUAAAUCAAAUACUAAUUGGAUCCAAUAAUCCAUAAAUAUCUGAUUUAUUUAAUUAUAUACUAACACGAUGAAUGUACCUAAAUAGUUAAACAAAAUUCAAAAAUAAGUGAGGAAUUAGUUCUAUACGAAAUGAUAAAUGUACCAUAAUGAGAUAUCCAAUUCUAUACCUACGUGCACCAAACCUGAAGUAUCCAUACAUGCAACCACUAUUUUCCAAUGGCAAAAUCCUUUAUAUCAUUAGGAUCGACAUAGAAACACUCUAACUCUCGAUCAUGUUCCAGCUUAAGAGGAAUUAGAUCUUUCUUAUCUAUAAUGUGAGAUAACAAUUUGGUUAUUGAUUAUUCAGAAGAAGUCAAUAACUCAUUAUGGUUCUCAUUAUCGGUGGGGAUGCCUGAACAACUUCCUUUUGUUCUUGCACUACAUACAACAAUUCUUUAAGGAAAUUGAUCAUCACUAACUUCAUGUGUACAUUAUUGGGCAGUUUCACUUAUUCUCUACAUCAUCAAAAUAACAGGAACACAAAAUAGAAUCAACACAAUAUAUAUCAUACAUUUCAGAUAUCACAAUAUUCCCACAUACCACAUAUAACUCUUUCAUUUCUUCCACAUCUUUGCUUCGAUUUUCCCACUCCUUUGCUAAUGCAUCUUCAACUUCUUUAUUUUAUCAUUCCAACUUCUUCUCAAACUCUUCAAUCGUUUCUUUUUGCGUUUGUCCGUUGCUUUUUUCUGGAUAUACCAUAGAAUAAUCUCAGGCAUAUUUCAUCUCUAACACCACGGACACGCCUACCAUGCUUCUUUGGUCCGACUACUCCUAUUAAUAUAUCAUAUCGUAGUUCUGGAACAAAAGAACCUUCACGGGCCAACACAACCAACGGAUUCUACACAACAUGAAAAGAUAUAUAUUUUUAAUUAUCAAAGUGAACCCUCUUGCAAUUUUCUCAGCGACUUUUCUUGAGGCAUAUGAAGUGUACUCUCAAUUUGUUCUUUGUUGAGCCCUCUUGCAUUUCUCAUGUCGUGAUGGUGGAAAUGGAUUGCGAUCAUGACUCACGGAGUCCUCAUCUCCCAUUUGUUUUAUUUUUUCAUUCAUCAUUGUUUUCUCAAGUUUCCUGUAACCCCCACGAGACAAUCUAUAAGUAGUAUUUAUACCAUAUUCGAAUAGUCUUUGUACAAAAUACUACGAGUGGUAUUUAUAUCAUAUUCGAAUAGUCUUUAUACCAUCAAAGAGUUUAUUUCUAGAUCGAUUCUCUAUCGUGCAAGUAGUAAUCGUAUAAUAUAGAACUGAAUUGUUUUAUCCUGGAGGCGGCGCAAUAGUUCGACUGCUUUGCAUAAUUUUUUACAGUGCCGUGAAAUGUAUUAAAGAGAGCGAAUUAUUCCGCGACUCAUCCCGAUAACUUCUUCUAUGACUAUUUUUAAAAUCCAAAAACAACCGAUUCUUCCUUCAGAAUUGAUUCUACUUGAAACUAGAAUUCAUAGUUUUUAAAUUUAAAUAUAAUUUUUAUAUUGAAAUUUAUGUAAUUUGAAAAUGUUGAUUUAAAAUUGAAAAGAUGAUUCAAUUGAUUGGUGUUUUUUCUAAUAUAGAUGAUUAAAUUAUUCUUUUGGAAGGAUUAAAUUGAUUGAUGAUUACAAUUUCGAGCAAUAAAAUGUUUAUAUAUUUCUAAGUAUUUGCAUUUUAAUUGUGAAAUGAUGGAUGAUUAGCUAUAUAGAAGUUAACAAUACAUAAUAAGCGCGUAAUAGGGUCCCAUUAUCGGUUGGUUACAACGCUAAAAUCCUAACAAAGCCUAAUACAUGAUCCUUUGCCUCCCACCCUCCAUGAAAAUAAUAAAUAACAACAAGACACAUACAUAAUGAACGAGAGAGGAACAUGGGUCCAUAACCCUCUAAGCCAAGGGUCUUGGGCUUAUAUAUACCCAAGUCUUAGCCACUUAUUUGAACACAACAACACACAACAUGGGUUCUUCAUUUUGGACAGUGUGUUUGAUUCUAGCAUCACUUGUUUCUUCUUUAUUCUGUGCUCUCCCAAGGAAGCCAGUGGAUGUACCAUUUGGCAGAAACUAUUACCCUACUUAGGCAUACGGGACAACCAUUUAAUUGUCUCUAAUGCACAAAUACUCUCUUUAGAAAUACUUUCAUUAAACCAAGUUAUAAAAAAUUUGUUAGAGGUAUUUUUCAUUCAUCCGGGGGUAUUUUUCCUUUAUAAGACUUUUGUGAGAGGUCAAGUAAGGUUCAACUUCAUUCAGGUUAUUCUGUAUAUACAAAUGUGCUUGACGAACUGCAUCUCCGCUAAAAGUUUUAACAUUUAAACCUUGAGUACCUCUACCAUCAUAUCUUCCCUCAUGACGAGACUCGGGAAUUCCUAUAGAGUUACCUUCUGACAAAUACAUUAUAUAAAACUCAAUAACUUCUUAUGUGAUAUACCAUUCAAUGAUCGAAGCUUCCGACCGAUGAUGAUUCUUUUUAUACCCUUUUAAGAUCUUGAUGAAUCGCUCUACGAGAUACAUCCACCGUAAAUAAACUAGACCAUAAAUUUUAAUCUCAUUUACUAGAUGAACAACUAAGUGAACAAUAAUGUCAAAGAACGAUGGAGGCAAAAACAUCUCUAAUUGACACAAGAUAAUUGCAGCCUCAUGUUCCAACUUGAAAUUCUAGUAACAGACUAUCGAUGUCACACGGGAUGUUAUGACAUCCAAUUCUGCGCAGACAGGUAAUGUAUGCAGAAAGUAAAUGCAAAAUGCAGUAAAUGACACAGAGAGUUGUUUACCCAGUUCGGUGACAAACUCACCUACUCUGGGGGCUACCAAGCCAGGGAGGAAAUCCACUAUAAGAGGUAUUAAUUCAGGACUUAAACCACCAGUUUAAUCCUAUCACUUAAGACCUACCCAAUGCAAUUUCAAUCUACACUAAGACCUGAGUACCUACUCACUCCCCCUCAAUCACAGCAGUGAUUACAACCAUUAAGAAUUUUAAAGUCAGUGGUGAAGAUAUACUUCAAACAACUCUUGAUUGUGCUUAAAAGCUUUAAUCAAGAAACACAACACUCACGCUUAAAGGCUUAGAGUGACACAACAAUUACAACUCAAUAAACACCCUAGUCCAAUGCAAUCAUCUAGGUGAUAAUUGCUUGGCUCACAAGUACAACCUAAUUCAAGACACAAUGAAAGUACAACAAUGAUAUAUAAUGAUAUAUUGAAUUCUUCACGCUUCAAAUCGCUGAAUUGUUGAAAGUAGGAUUGCCAUCCUUUUAUAAUGCAGUACUUGGGCCUUGAACUUGAAUUUCAUAAAACUAGGGUUAAGCAAGUUAACCUAAUUUCCACACAUUAGGGUGAUAACAAAUAGGCUAUAUGCUAGGUCUCUUAAUUUUAGCAUAGCUGUUAGUUUCCUGAAAAUCAGCCUGAGAUAAAUACUGAAACAUAACAGAAAAAUUAGCCUAUACUUUAGCAUCUGCUGUCAGGGAUGACUGUCAUAAAAUUCAGUUUGACAUCCAGAAAAUGCUGUCAUGAAUGAAUGUCAUAACAUUCAGUUUGACAUCCAGUAAAUCCUAUAUUAGCUAAUCCUGCAGCAUACUACUUAAGCAUGUCAUGACAUCAGUCAAGACAUCUAAGUACAGUAAGUGUUUUAACAUAAAAUGCAGCCAAUCAAAAACAUCUACACAACUCGUCUAAAUUUUCAGGAUCAAUGACUUUACUACAUAUAGCAUUGAAGAAUAAGCAAAAUCUAGUUAUAGUUACCCUUACAUUCCUUGGUAAAAUGUCACAGAUAGCCAUUGGUAGAAGUUGUUGCAUCAAUACAUGACAAUCAUGAGAUUUUAAGCCAACUAAUUUGUGAUGGUUCUCUGACACAAAUUUUUUACAUUUGAUGAGUACCCUUGGAGAACUUCGAUACCCUGUAAACAGUCACAAUUUUAUUUUAUUUUUUAGACAGAGUGUGACAAGCUGGAGGCAAAUAUGUUUUAUUUCCUAUUUCUUUUGGGGCUAAAUCUUGUCGUAUUGCCAUCACAACCAUGUCUUCAUAGGAUUCCUUAGUAUCUUUUGUCUUGCCUUUAAUGUUGCAAUUUUUUCCAAUCAAAAUAUCACAUACAUUUUUCUCCACAUACAUCACAUUAAGACAAGACCAAUAUGGAAGAUCAAAGAACACCGACCUUUUUUUUCAACUAUUUUUCUCAAUGGGCCCUUUUUGUUUAUCUUUUAAUUUCUUUCAAAAGACAACCUUAAUAUGUUGUUGUCUCUUAUAAACUUCCUUCUCGGUUAAGGGCUUUGGAGAAAAAUUAAACUCUUUCUCUCCAUUAAAAGCCUUUCACAAUCUACGGUAUGAAUGAUUAGAUCUUGAAAAUUUUCGAUGCCCAAGAUAAAUAGUCUUUUUUCCAUUUUAUAAUUGGUGGUGACAUGUAUCAAAUUCACAUAUAGGACAUGCUUUAUGUCCCUUGACGAUGUGCCUAGACAAAUUACCGUAUGUAGGAAAGUCAUUGAUUGUGCAAAAUAACAUGGACGCAACUUAAAGUUAUCACCUAUAUAUGCAUCAUCAACAUCAACGCCUUCCUCCCACAAAAAUCUUAAAUCUUCAAUCAAUUGAAUUAAAUAAACAUCUAUAUCGUUCCCUGGUUGUUUUGCAAUUCAUGCACAACCAUGAAGAUAGGUUGUAAAUUAUGAGAAGAACGGGCCAUGACGUAUGGUUAGUACUCAAAUUACCAAAAUGGUUCAUUUCGUCGGCGGCAAGUCCAAGCCUAAGGUUCCUUAGUUCUAGUGAAAAUAUAGAACUAAGGAAUCACUUUUCUUCCAUUGCAAUAUAUCAGCUGCAUGGCAAAUUUUUCCAUCACACACUCUUUCAUCUGCAUGCCACCUAGUAUUAUUUGCAUCAUUUGCAUUAGAAAACAAUCAUUUGAAACUUUGAACUACCGGUAGGUACCACAUCACCUUGGAAGGAACACCUUUUCUAGUUACAGUAUCAUCAUCUUCAACACAAUUGACCUUCUUCUUGUAGCAUGACUCCCCAUAUCUCGGACACUCCUUCAAGCUUUCAUAUUCUUUCCUAUAUAAUGUGAAAUCAUUUCGACAUGCAUGUAUUUUUGACAUAAUCCAAACCUAUUGGACACAAUAUCUUCUUGGCCUCAUAAUUACGGUUCGACAACGUGUUACCUUCUAGAAGCAUUUCUUGCAACAAUUCAAGAAAUUCAUUAAAACUUUUAUUUGUCCACCCACAUCUUGCCUUAAAAUUAUGUAGUCUUAAUACAAAUGAUAAUCUUGUAAAACUUUUGCAUCCCAGAUACAACGAAUCUUCCAUGUCUUUUUGCAAAAUAUCUACCACAUUAGCAUUCUUGAAAGCAUCUACCCCAAUAUCAUGAAUCAUAUCUUCUAGAGUAUCAUUAAUAAGUUCAUCAUCUUCAACUAUAUGUGACAGAGGUCUUUUUUUGUCACUUCACCAUGCCAUACCUAUUACUUAUAAUUUUGAAUAAUUUCAUCACAACCUAAAUGAUUGAAUAUUCCAUCCCUUGGAUGUUUGUGAAUAUUUCGGAAAACUUUACAAGGACACUAAAAAAUCUCCUUCUCCUUAGGAAGGUUUUUUUCCGCAAAAUCAAGAAAUUGAAUCACUCCAUUCUCAUAAUCUUUACUUAACCUAUUGGAUUUCAUCCAACUACGAUCCAUAAUUACAUACAACUUCUGGAAAAAAAAUAGUACACAAUCAACAAUAACUACCAGAACAACAACAAAUACCAUAACAACAUUAUAGUAAAUAUUAUAAGUCUCAAAAACCAUAAUAACAAAAACAACAACCACAUACGACAAUAACAUCAACGACAUAACAACAACAAUAACAACAACAACAACAACAAUAACAACAACAACAACAACAAUGACAACGAUGACCUAGGGCUACAACAUCAACGACGGAAACAACAAUAAUAAUAAAGAAUUUGUACAUACCGAAAAUAUGAUUAGAGACUCUAUAGAGAAGAAUUCGAGAUUACUUCCUCCUCGGAGAAGAAGGGUGGUGGUUUUGAGUCUUGGAAAACUCCUUCGUUCGCUAGAGAAGAUUGGGUUCCUUUCGUUCGCUGGGAUGCAAAAAGUGAAUGAGACAAAACAUUAUAAUUAUGAAAGAAUAAAAAUUAUUUUGAUAGUUAGUAUCUUAGUUUUCUGUAACAUUAGAGGGAUAAUAUCCGACGUAAAAUGUAUAAAAAAUAAAGGCGAUUUUUAGUUGUAAAUAAAACAUAAAAUUGAAGGAGCUGAGAAUAGAAGCUGAAACACUGAACAACAUUUGAUGUCGGUUUUCCUAGAAAACCGAGGUGAAAGAUAAUAAAGUUUCUUUAAAAAAUAUAAUAUAUAGCGCGUUCAAGGCCAUUAGACCUCAGUUUUUCAAUAACUAAGGUGAAAGCUUCGUCAUGAAACAUAGAAUUUGUAGUAGUGACAUAAUAUAUAUAUACCUGGUCCAAAGAAUCAACAAUGUCGGAAGAGACAAUGUUUAACAUGUUUUUCAUUACAAGAUACUGACACCUGUAUCCCUCUUCUUGUCUCCUCGUCUACAAAUUUAAACAUUUCAUGAAUAUAUAACAACAUAUGCAUGUGUGUGUGUGUGUGUAUAUAUAUAGUUAUAUAUAUAAUAUAAUAUAUAUAUUUAUAUAAUUAUAAAUAUAUAAAUAUAUAUAAUAUACAUAUAUAUAUAUACACACACACACACACAUGCAUAUGUUGUUAUAUAUUCAUGAAAUGUUUAAAUUUGUAGACGAGAGACAAGAAGAGGGAUACAAGGUGUCAGUAUCUUGUAAUGAAAAACAUGUUAAACAUUGUCUCUUCCAAGACAUUUGUUGAUUCUUGGACCAGGUAUAUAUAUUUAUGUCACUACUACAAAUUCUAUUUCAUGACGAAGCUUCACCUUAGUUAUUGAAAAACUGAGUCUAAUGGCCUUGAACGCGCUAUAUAUUAUAUUUUAAAGAAAACUUAUUAUCUUUCACCUCGGUUUUCUAGAAAACCGACAUCAAAUGUUGUUCAGGUUUCAGUCUCUAUUCUCAGCUCCUUCAAUUUUAUGUUUAUUACAACUAAAAAUCGCCUUUAUUUUUAUAUACAUUUUACGUCGNNNNNNNNNNNNNNNNNNNNNNNNNAACUACGAAUUCUAGUUUCAAAGUAGAAUCAAUCUCAAGACAGAAUCGGUUGUUUUGCGGAUUUUGAAAAUAGCCACAGAAGAAGUUAUCGGGAUAAGUCUGCGGAAUAAUUCGCUCUCUUUAAGACGUUUCACGACACGCCAAAAGUUAUACAAAGCAGUUGAACUACUGCGCCACCGCCAGAUAAACAACUCAGUUCUAUAUUAUACGAUUACUAUUUACACGAUAGAUAAUUGAUUCUAGAAAACACCCUCUGAUGGUAUAAAAACUAUUUGAAUAUGAUAUAAAUACCACUCAUAGUAUUUUGUACAAAGACUAUUCGAAUAUGGUAUAAAAUACUACUUGAUGAUUGUCUCGUGUGUUUAUAGGAAACUUGAGAAAAUAAUGAUAAUAAAAAAAAAUACAACAAAAGAGACGAGGAUUCCGUGAGUCAUGAUCGCAAUUCCAUUUCCACCAUCACAACAUGAGAAAUGCAAGAGAGAUCGACAAAGACAAAUUGAGAGUACACUUCAGAUGCCUCAAGAGAAGUCGUUGAAAAAAAAUGCAAGAGGGUUCGCUUUUGGUAAUUAAUUUUUUUUUUCAUGUUGUGUGUAGGAUUCAUUCGUGUGUGUUGGCCACCGUGAAGGUUCUUUUGUUCUAGAACUACGAUAUGAAGUAUUAAUAGAAGCAGUUCGAACAGAGGAGCAUGAUGGACGUGUCUGUGGUGUUGGAGAUGACAUAUGCUUGAGAUUAUUCUAUGGUAUAUCCAAAAAAAGCAACGUACAAAGCAAAAAGAAAUGAUUGAAGAGUUGAGAAGAAGUUGGAAAGAUAAAAUAAAGAAUUUGAAGAUGCUUUAGCAAAGGAGCGAAAAAUCGAAGGAAAGAUGUGGAAGAAAUGUGAAAGAGUUAUAUAUUGGUAUGUGAGAAUAUUGUAUAUCUUGAAAUGUAUGAUAUAUUAUUGUGUUGAUUCUAUUUAUGUUUCUGUUAUUUUAAUGAUGUAGAGAAUCAGUAAAAUUGCCCAAUAAUGUAAACAUGCAGUUUGUGAUGAUCAAUUCCUUAAAGAAUUAUUACGUAUGCAAGAACAGAAGACGUUGUUCAGGCAUCCCCACCGAUAAUGAGAUCCAUAAUGGGUUAUUGACUCUUCUGAAUAAUCAAUAAACCAAAUUAUUAUGUCAUAUAUGGAUAAGAAAGAUCUAAUCCUCUUGAGGUAGAACAUGAUCGAUGAGUUAGAGUGAUUAUGUCGAUCCUAAUGACAUUAAAGGAUUUUGCAAUUGGAAAAUAGUGGUUGCAUCUAUGAUACUUCAUGUUUUGGUGCGUGUAGGUAUAGAAUUGGAUAUCUCAUUAUGGUACAUUUAUUCAUUUCGUAUAGAACUAAUUCCUUCACUUAUUUUUGAAUUUUGUUUAACCAUUUAGGUACAUUCACCGUGUAGUAUAUAAUUAAAUAAAUCGAAUAUUAUGGAUAUUGUCCCAGUUAGUAUUUGAUUACAAGUAAUAGCCCAAAAAUGUUGAAACAUAGAUAACAUCACAGUUAGAUGCAGAAAAGACUGUUACUUAACAUCAUUUAACCACAGCGUGAGUAAUUUUUGAAAUUAUGGUUUCUCUAUUAUAAUUAGUUUUCCAUAUUUUACCAAAAUAUAAUUAUAUAUGCCUGUGUUCAUUAUGAUAACAUUUUCAAUUGAUCAUCGCAUCUCUUCGGAAGAAUACAACAAUUACAUCGUGUUCUUUACACAAUCCACUUAAAUUUAAGAUGAAACAAAAUUAUUACUAGGUAAGUUUAUGUUAUUAAGGAUUUAGUAAUAUUUUCUCGGACUUUAUAAUUAGUUUUAGCGCGUAAUAUUUUUAAAAUAUUUUUUAAUAUACAGGGUAUGGAGUGACACUAUUUUUUACGAACAAUCUAAAAAAACUCACAUUUUGUACGACCAAAUAAGUGGAUUAUAUGUGACACUUCAUUAUAUAUAUAUAAUAUAUUAUAUAUAUAUAUAUAUAUAUAUAUAUAUAAUAAUAUAUAUAUAUAUAUAAUAUACUAUAAUAUAUAAAUGAAUGUCACAAAUAAUCCACUUAUUUUGGUCGUACAAAAUGUGAGUUUUUUUUAGAAUUGUUCGUAAAAUAGUGUCACUCCAUAACCCUGUAUAUUAAAAAAUAUUUUAAAAUAUUACGCGCUAAACUAAUUAUAAAGUCCGAGAAAAUAUUACUAAAAUCUUAUAAACAUAAACUUACCUAGUAAUAAUUUGUUUCAUCUUAAAUUUAAGUGGAUUGUGUAAGGAACACGAUGUAAUUGUUGUAUUCUUCCGAAGAGAUGCGAUGAUCAAUUGAAAAUGUUCACUAAAUGAACACAGGCAUAUAUAAUUAUAUUUUGGUAAAAUAUGGAAACUAAUUAUAAUAGAGAAACCAUAAUUUCAAAAUUACUCACGCUUGGAUAAAUGAUGUUAAGUAACAGUCUUUUCUGCCAUCUAACUGUGAUGUUAUCUAUGUUUCAAUCAUUUUUGGGCUAUUACUUGUAAAUCAAAUACUAACUGGGACCAAUAAUCCAUAAAUAUUCGAUUUAUUUAAUUAUAUACUAACACGGUGAAUGUACCUAAAUGGUUAAACAAAAUUCAAAAAUAAGUGAGGAAUUAGUUCUAUACGAAAUGAUAAAUGUACCAUAAUGAGAUAUCCAAUUCUAUACCUACACGCACCAAACAUGAAGUAUCCAUAGAUGCAACCACUAUUUUCCAAUUGCAAAAUCCUUUAUGUCAUUAGGAUCGACAUAUAAACACUCUAACUCUCGAUCAUGUUCUACCUCAAGAGGAAUUAGAUCUUUCUUAUCCAUAAUAUGACAUAAUAAUUUGGUUAUUGAUUAUUCAGAAGAAGUCAAUAACCCAUUAUGGAUCUCAUUAUCGGUGGGGAUGCCUGAACAACGUCCUUCUGUUCUUGCACUACGUACAAUAAUUCUUUAAGGAAAUUGAUCAUCACCAACUUCAUGUUUACAUUAUUGGGCAAUUUUACUGAUUCUCUACAUCAUUAAAAUAACAGAAACAUAAAAUAGAAUCAACACAAUAUAUAUCAUACAUUUCAGAUAUCACAAUAUUCUCACAUACCACAUAUAACUCUUUCAUUUCUUCCACAUCUUUCCUUCGAUUUUUCCGCUCCUUUGCUAAAGCAUCUUCAAAUUCUUUAUUUUAUCUUUCCAACUUCUUCUCAAACUCUUCAAUCAUUUCUUUUUGCUUUGUACGUUGCUUUUUUUGGAUAUACCAUAGAAUAAUCUCAAGCAUAUGUCAUCUCCAACACCACAGACACGUCCAUCAUGCUCCUCUGUUCCGACUGCUUCUAUUAAUACUUCAUAUCGUAGUUCUAGAACAAAAGAACCUUCACGGGCCAACACAACCAAUGAAUCCUACACAACAUGAAAAAAAAAAUUAAUUACCAAAGCGAACCCUCUUGCAAUUUUUUCAACGACUUCUCUUGAGGCAUCUGAAGUGUACUCUCAAUUUGUUCUUUGUCGAUCUCUCUUGCAUUUCUCAUGUUGUGAUGGUGGAAAUGGAUUGCGAUCAUGACUCACGGAAUCCUCGUCUCUCAUUUGUUGUAUUUUUUUUAUUAAUCAUUAUUUUCUCAAGUUUCCUAUAACACACACGAGACAAUCUACAAGUAGUAUUUAUACCAUAUUCGAAUAGUCUUUGUACAAAAUACUAUGAGUGGUAUUUAUAUCAUAUUCAAAUAGUUUUUAUACCAUCAGAGGGUGUAUUUCUAGAUCAAUUAUCUAUCGUGUAAAUAGUAAUCGUAUAAUAUAGAACUGAGUUGUUUUAUCCUGGAGGUGGCGCAGUAGUUCAACUGCUUUGUAUAACUUUUGGCAGUGUCGUGAAACGUCUUAAAGAGAGCGAAUUAUUCCGCGACUUAUCCCGAUAACUUCUUCUGUGGCUAUUUUCAAAAUCCAAAAACAACCGAUUCUGUCUUGAGAAUUGAUUCUACUUGAAACUAGAAUUCGUAGUUUUUAAAUUUAAAUAUGACUUUUAUAUUAAAAUUUACUGUUAAAAUCCCUUCUAUAUAAAUUAUCCAAACAUAAAUUAUUUUAUCUUCAACUAACUUUUAGCUAGAAUAAAGUUUACAAUAAUGAAUUCAUUCAAAAUUAAUUAUUAUAACCCUUGUCUUUCUUUUACUAUCUAAUUGAUAUCAUGUAAGUACUCAAAUUUAUGUAAUUUGAAAAUGUUGAUUUAAAAUUGAAAAGAUGAUUCAAUUGAUCGAUGUUUUUUCUAAUAUAGAUGAUAAAUUAUUCUUUGGAAGGAUUAAAUUGAUUGAUGAUUGCAAUUUCCAGCAAUAAAAUGUUUAUAUAUUUCUAAGUAUUUGAUUUUAAUUGUGAAAUGAUGGAUGAUUAGCUUAAUAGAAGUUAACAACACAUAAUAAGCGCGUAAUAGGUCCCAUUAUCGGUUGUUACAACGCUAAAAUCCUAACAAAGCCUAAUACAUGAUCCUUUGCCUCCCACCCUCCAUGAAAAUAUAAAUAACAACAAGACACAUACAUAAUGAACGAGAGAGGAACAUGGGUCCAGAACCUCUAAGCCAAGGGUCUUGGCUUAUAUAUACCCAAGUCUUAGCCACUUAUUUGACCACAACAACACACAACAUGGGUUCUUCAUUUUGGACGUGUGUUUGAUUCUAGCAUCACUUGUUUCUUCUUCAUUCUGUGCUCCCCAAGGAAGCCAGUGGAUGUACCAUUUGGUAGAAACUAUUACCCUACUUGGGCUUUUGAUCAAUAUCAAAUACUUCAAUGGCGGUUCUGAGAUUCAGCUUCAUCUUGAUAAGUCCACUGGUUAGUACUGUUUAUUAUUCUUCCUGUAUAGUUUUAAACCUGUCACUACACUGUUCAUGUAUCUAACUAGUUUUUGAACAGGUACUGGUUUUCAGUCCAAAGGAUCAUACUUGUUUGGUCAUUUCAGUAUGAACAUUAAGAUGGUUCCCGGUGAUUCUGCUGGAACAGUUACUGCUUUCUACGUAUGUAGUACAUGUACAUAAAAUUAUAGUUUUUUGUUUCUAUUUUUAUUAGUAAUGACAUUAGAUGUGAACGGAACUACUUUUCAUGCAGUUAUCUUCACAAAAUGCUGAACAUGAUGAGAUAGAUUUCGAGUUCUUGGGGAACAGAACAGGACAACCUUACAUUUUACAAACAAAUGUGUUCACUGGUGGACAAGGUAACAAAGAACAAAGGAUUUUUCUUUGGUUUGAUCCAACAAAAGAAUUUCACAGAUACUCCAUUCUAUGGAACAUGUACCAGAUUGUGUAAGCAUUACUUGACUCAACUACUAUUGCAAUAUUGAUAAAACAAUAUAGCUUAACCUAUAUGAUUGAUUUGAUUGCAGUUUCUAUGUGGAUGAUGUUCCAAUAAGAGUGUUCAAGAACAGCAAAGAUUUAGGAGUGAAAUUUCCAUUUGACCAACCAAUGAAAAUAUACAACAGUUUAUGGAAUGCAGAUGAUUGGGCAACAAGGGGUGGAUUAGAGAAAACAGACUGGUCAAAAGCACCAUUCAUAGCAGGAUACAAAAGCUUCCACAUUGAUGGGUGUGAAGCAUCUGUUAAUUCAAAAUUCUGUGCAACACAAGGAAAGAGAUGGUGGGAUCAAGCUGAGUUUCGUGAUCUUGAUGCAGCUCAAUGGCGUAGCUUAAAGUGGGUGAGAGAAAAAUACACCAUUUACAAUUACUGCACUGAUAGAAAACGUUUACCUCAAAUUCCCUCCGAAUGCAAAAGAGAUGGUGACAUUUGAACUUUCAUGCAUACUUUUACCACUUACUUUACCAUAAAUCUCUUCUCGUAAGUAUUUGUAUCAUAAAUUAUUUGUUCUUGUCUUGUCACCGUUAUUUCAUUUGAUCAACUAUGUAAUAUUUCAAGGUUGAACCUAAGGAAGCCUUUAUAUAUGUAUCUGUAAUUCUAUAUUGAUUGGUCAUUUAUCAAGAAAAAUAACAUUUGUUUGCUAUUGCCAUUUCAUGAUAAUAAUAUGAUCUUGAUAUUUCAUAA